UGGGGAAUGUUGGGCAAUGGGCAAGGCGCCUGAUCCAGCCAUAUAGAGUGAUUCUGCGUCAAUUGACGUUCAACUGAUAUAGAGCCCCCUGGUAAUGGCAACAUGGCAACAUUUUUAAACUUUAAUUUAAAGACCGGCAACCGGCAACCCCGAAGGGGAAGCUCCAUCUGCCUUACAAAGGCAUAUGGAUGGCAACGGGUUCCUACCAGGUGUAAACCCUUUAAACUAAAGGGGGCGGACGUUAAGAAAAACAAAAAGAGUAUUGGCAUACGACCGUCCACUGUCUCAGCGGGAGAUGACGAUAAGGAAACAAAAUGAGAAUUGACGUUAAGAAAAAGAAAAGAUCUGGAGGUAAGGAGAAUAAUGAUACAACUUACCUAUAAAUCCUGACCAACCUCGUGCCAGCAGUCGCGGUAAGACGAAGAGGAUGAGCGUAAUUCAUGAUGUAUAGGUGUAAAGGGUCUGUAGGCGGCGAAAGCUAGAGUGUUACAUGGGAAAAGAGGAAUUGAGUAAGUAGGGAUAAAAUCCAAUGAUCUAUUUAGGAAGGUCGAGGGCGAAGGCAUCUUUCUAGGAACACUGACGCUAAGGGACUAAAGUGUGGGGAGCAAAAAGGAUUAGAUACCCCAUUAGUCCACA
RNAcentral lists this ribosomal RNA (636 nucleotides) under Batkoa apiculata. Its description in RNAcentral is "partial small subunit ribosomal RNA". It matches the Rfam family "Bacterial small subunit ribosomal RNA", at positions 355 to 799 of the family's 1533-position model. The record is from RNAcentral. Lineage: Eukaryota; Fungi; Entomophthoromycota; Entomophthoromycetes; Entomophthorales; Batkoaceae.